AUUUGCCCGCCGCUGAGCGACCCGGCCUGCCACACCGUGUUCUGCUGGGUGGCGUUCCCGGGCAGCGCGAUGGUGGCGAAGAUGGUGUACGCGCCGCCGGAGUACUCGACGGUGGGCGCGACGGGCACGUUGAACUUGAGGGUCGCGGGCUGCAGGCUGGGCGACGUGGAGUCGAGGUUGGUCAUGAGGACGGAAGGGGAGCCGCUGCUCUGCGUCGCGACGAAGACGCUGCUGCCGACCAUGCCGCGGCUGUUGGGGUUGAUGCCCCAGCCGACCCAGCCGUC
RNAcentral lists this long non-coding RNA (284 nucleotides) under Setaria italica (foxtail millet). RNAcentral describes it as "long non-coding RNA (SITA_LNC007352)". The record is from RNAcentral. Lineage: Eukaryota; Viridiplantae; Streptophyta; Magnoliopsida; Poales; Poaceae.